AUGGUCCUAAUCGCGCCCACACCUCCUACUGGUUUUGUUCAGGUGCUCACGGACUUUGCCUCUGGGCCGUCAGUCAUUCUUAUACCGACCGCACCGUGGCUGGGUUUGCGUCCAAUGUGGAGAACUUUCGCGUGUUCUCUUAUAUCCUUCCCAUCUACCAGAGUUUUUGGUCACGAACCACUUGUAGUCACCAAACAAAUGAACUACUCGGCGUAUGACUACAGGGAUUUUCUCAUGGCUCUUGGUUUCAACACCGACAUCAUAAAAUGGAUACUUCGGAUGAAUCUAAAGGUUAAUGCUCCGAUGGUGCCAACGACAUACCUAAAUGGAGUCGGUUUCCAAACGAUAGAUCAGGCUGUAUACUGGGACAAUAACUUUGAUGUAGAGCCAGAGUAUGUAUAUGGCGAUGGUGACGAUGUCGUCAACUUAGUUAGCUUGUUGGCAUUUGUGGAAGAAAUGAGAAGGCAGCAGCAGCGGAAUAGCAUACACUUCAAGUUCAUCAAGAUUGCUCAUACUAACCACUCUCAUAUUCUAAUUCAGGAACGUUCACUCAAGAGAGUUAUGGCUGAAAUUCUAGAAGCUAAUUGCAGAAGAGACAUCAUGUAA
RNAcentral lists this ribosomal RNA (606 nucleotides) under Triticum aestivum (bread wheat). RNAcentral describes it as "partial small subunit ribosomal RNA". Lineage: Eukaryota; Viridiplantae; Streptophyta; Magnoliopsida; Poales; Poaceae. The record is from RNAcentral.